CACUGGGACUGAGACACUGCCCAGACUCCUACGGGAGGCUGCAGUCAAGAAUAUUCCCCAAUGGCCGAAAGGCUGAGGGAGCGACGCCGCGUGGUGGAAGAAGCUCUUCGGAGUGUAAACACCUUUUAUCAGGGACGAACACAUGACGGUACCUGAUGAAUAAGGGGCUGCUAAACUCGUGCCAGCAGCAGCGGUAAUACGAGUGCCCCAAGCGUUAUCCGGAUUUAUUGGGCGUAAAGCGUCUGUAGGUGGUUAAGCAAGUCACAUGUCAAAUCUAUAGGCUCAACCUGUAGGCUGCAUGUGAAACUACUUAGCUUGAGGACGGGAGAGGCAGAUAGAAUUGCCGGUGUAGGGGUAAAAUCCGUUAAUAUCGGCAAGAAUACCAAAUGCGAAAGCUUUCUGCUGGAACGAUCCUGACACUGAGAGACGAAAGCGUGGGGAGCGAAUGGGAUUAGAUACCCCAGUAGUCCACGCCGUAAACGAUGGAUGCUUGACAUUGGCAGUAUCGACCCUGUCAGUGUCGCUUAAAUCAAGUUAACACCUUAAGCAUCCCGCCUGGGUAGUACGGCCGCAAGGCUAAAACUCAAAGGAAUUGACGGGGACCCGCACAAGCGGUGGAGCAUGUGGUUCAAUUCGAUGAUAAGCGAGGAACCUUACCAAGGUUUGACAUGGCGCUGCAAAUCCUAAGAAACUAGGAUGCCUUAGAGGGUGCGCCACAGGUGCUGCAUGGUUGUCGUCAGCUCGUGCCGUGAGGUGUACCAUUAAGUUGGAUAACGAGCGCAACCCCUACUCUGUGUUAAAUUAUUCACAGAGAACUGCCCCGCCCUUUCCUUAUUAGCAUUAGCUAGUAAUGAGGGGGCGGGGAGGAAGGUGGGGAUGACGUCAAAUCAGCAUGGCUCUUACACCUUGGGCGACACACGUGCUACAAUGGCCAGUACAAAGGGUCGCUAAGCGGAAACGCGGAGCUAAUCCCAUCAAAACUGGUCUCAAUUCGGAUUGAGGUCUGCAACUCGACCUCAUGAAGCUGGAAUCGCUAGUAACCGUGCAUCAGCCUUGGCACGGUGAAUACGUUCUCGGGUCUUGUACACACCGCCCGUCACGUCAAGGGAGUCAGUAGUACCUAAAUGCUGCCGUAGGGUGGUAAAAGGUAAGACUGAUAACAGGGACGAAGUCGUAACAAGGCAUCCGUAGCGGAAGCUGUGGAUGGAUCACCUCCUUUCUA
RNAcentral lists this ribosomal RNA (1222 nucleotides) under Candidatus Buchananbacteria bacterium RIFCSPLOWO2_01_FULL_46_12. RNAcentral's name for it is "bacterial SSU rRNA". It matches the Rfam family "Bacterial small subunit ribosomal RNA", at positions 311 to 1533 of the family's 1533-position model. Lineage: Bacteria; Candidatus Buchananiibacteriota. The record is from RNAcentral.